RNAcentral lists this ribosomal RNA (393 nucleotides) under uncultured Bacillota bacterium. RNAcentral's name for it is "bacterial SSU rRNA". It matches the Rfam family "Bacterial small subunit ribosomal RNA", at positions 9 to 399 of the family's 1533-position model. Lineage: Bacteria; Bacillati; Bacillota. The record is from RNAcentral.
GAGUUUGAUCAUGGCUCAGGAUGAACGCUGGCGGGUGCCUUAACACAUGCAAGUCGAACGGAUAUAAGUCUUCGGACUUAUGUUAGUGGCGGACGGGUGAGUAACACGUGGAUAACCUGCCGAUAAUCGGGGAAUAACAGAUAGAAAUAUCUGCUAAAACCGCAUAAGCUCACACCGGGCAUCUCGGAGGGAGAAAAUAUUUAUAGAUUAUCGAGGGGUCCGCGUCUGAUUAGCUAGUUGGCGGGGUAAAAGCCCACCAAGGCGACGAUCAGUAGCCGGCCUGAGAGGGCGAACGGCCAACAUUGGGACUGAGACACGGCCCAAACUCCUACGGGAAGGCAGCAGUGGGGAAUAUUGCGCAAUGGGCGGAAGCUUGAACGGCAGCAACGCCCG